This 355-nucleotide ribosomal RNA is filed under the name Ocyptamus luctuosus. RNAcentral describes it as "partial 12S ribosomal RNA". The record is from RNAcentral. Lineage: Eukaryota; Metazoa; Arthropoda; Insecta; Diptera; Syrphidae.
UUAAAAAGUAAAUAGAUUUAUUUGAGUAGUAUUAGUUAUAUUCUUGAAACUAAAAAAAUUUGGCGGUAUUUUAGUCUAUUCAGAGGAACUUGUUUUUUAAUCGAUAAUCCUCGAUGUACCUUACUUAAAAUUGUUAAUCAAUCUAUAUAUCGUUGUUAUUAGAAUAUUUUAUAAGAAUAAUAAUUUUCUAUAAUUUUUAUAAAAAUUAAUAUCAAAUCAAGGUGUAGUUUAUUUUUAAGAAUAAAUGAGUUACAAUAAAAUAUAUUUUUGAAUUUAAAUAUGAAAAAUUUAAUGAAAUUGGAUUUGAUAGUAAAAUUAUAAAGAUUAAUAAUUUGAUUUUAGCUCUAAAAUAUGU